Molecule: non-coding RNA, 386 nt
Organism: Maylandia zebra (zebra mbuna)
Lineage: Eukaryota; Metazoa; Chordata; Actinopteri; Cichliformes; Cichlidae
Source: RefSeq, a predicted model, not a curated record
UCCUUAUUUUUUCUCAUUUUUUCUUACUUUGGAGGACCAGCAGAGCGAGGGCCGCUAACCUGUGGACAUUCAUGGAAGGUGACGUUGUGUCUGGAAGGCGGGUCCACAUAAGAACUCAGAUAUAAUAUUUAUAUUUUUGUUCUAACCUGUUGAGUCCCUGGCAGCAGCCAAUGGCAAGGUUGUGCCAGCCAGCAGGAUGCUGCGGAGCUGCUGAAGGGCGGGGCUGGAGUCUGAAAGGCGGCCUGUUGGACUACGAAUGCCAGUGCGGAGCUAAGAAGAUCAAAGAGGAGCUGUUGUUCUUGAACCUGCCAAAUGUGCUGAUCCUCCAGCUGAAGUGGUUUACGUUCACUCCAUCGUUCACCGUGGAGAAGAAGAACAGCCCCAUU